AUUGAGCGCUGGCGGCAGGCCUAACACAUGCAAGUCGAACGGUAACAGGAAGACGCUUGCUUCUUUGCUGACGAGUGGCGGACGGGUGAGUAAUGUCUGGGAAACUGCCUGAUGGAGGGGGAUAACUACUGGAAACGGUAGCUAAUACCGCAUAACGUCGCAAGACCAAAGAGGGGGACCUUCGGGCCUCUUGCCAUCGGAUGUGCCCAGAUGGGAUUAGCUAGUAGGUGGGGUAACGGCUCACCUAGGCGACGAUCCCUAGCUGGUCUGAGAGGAUGACCAGCCACACUGGAACUGAGACACGGUCCAGACUCCUACGGGAGGCAGCAGUGGGGAAUAUUGCACAAUGGGCGCAAGCCUGAUGCAGCCAUGCCGCGUGUAUGAAGAAGGCCUUCGGGUUGUAAAGUACUUUCAGCGGGGAGGAAGGGAGUAAAGUUAAUACCUUUGCUCAUGGACGUUACCCGCAGAAGAAGCACCGGCUAACUCCGU
This 489-nucleotide ribosomal RNA is filed under the name uncultured bacterium. RNAcentral's name for it is "partial 16S ribosomal RNA". It matches the Rfam family "Bacterial small subunit ribosomal RNA", at positions 30 to 506 of the family's 1533-position model. The record is from RNAcentral.